GACGAACGCUGGCGGCGCGCUUAACACAUGCAAGUCGAACGGAAAGGCCUGCUUUCCCUUGUGGAUUGCGGGUACUCGAGUGGCGAACGGGUGAGUAACACGUGAGUGAUCUGCCCCCAACUUGGGUAUAAGCCUGGGAAACUGGGUCUAAUUCCCGAUAGGACUGCAGGGUGGUGCCUGUGGUGGAAAACGAUUUUCUAGUGGUUGGGGAUGAGCUCGCGGCCUAUCAGCUUGUUGGUGGGGUAAUGGCCUACCAAGGCGGCGACGGGUAGCCGGCCUGGGAGGGGGGACGGCCACAGUGGGACUGGGAAACGGCCCAGACUCCUACGGGAGGCAGCAGUGGGGAAUAUUGCACAAUGGGCGGAAGCCUGAUGCAGCGACGCCGCGUGGGGGAUGACGGCCUUCGGGUUGUAAACUCCUUUCGACCGCGAGGAAGCCACCUGGUUGGAAGGGUGGUGACGGUAGUGGUAGAAGAAGCACCGGCUAACUACGUG
This 494-nucleotide ribosomal RNA is filed under the name uncultured bacterium. RNAcentral describes it as "partial 16S ribosomal RNA". It matches the Rfam family "Bacterial small subunit ribosomal RNA", at positions 28 to 507 of the family's 1533-position model. The record is from RNAcentral.